CGCGUGAGGAACCUGCCUCAAAGAGGGGGACAACAGUUGGAAACGACUGCUAAUACCGCAUAAGCCCACGACCCGGCAUCGGGUAGAGGGAAAAGGAGCAAUCCGCUUUGAGAUGGCCUCGCGUCCGAUUAGCUAGUUGGUGAGGUAAUGGCCCACCAAGGCAACGAUCGGUAGCCGGACUGAGAGGUUGAACGGCCACAUUGGGACUGAGACACGGCCCAG
RNAcentral lists this ribosomal RNA (222 nucleotides) under uncultured bacterium. RNAcentral describes it as "partial 16S ribosomal RNA". It matches the Rfam family "Bacterial small subunit ribosomal RNA", at positions 114 to 334 of the family's 1533-position model. The record is from RNAcentral.